GAGCAAGCCAACUAAUCUGCUUAACCAAAUGUGUUUCUGAAUAAAUUUGGAAAAAGCUAGCAACAGUGAUGCCGUUUUAUGAGCCUUAAGGCUGUCUGAGGGCAUUAUGGUCCCUCAAAAUGGCCACAAUA
This is a small nucleolar RNA of Jaculus jaculus (lesser Egyptian jerboa), 131 nucleotides long. RefSeq annotates it as small nucleolar RNA SNORA33. The transcript has a single exon. NCBI's taxonomy places the organism in Eukaryota, Metazoa, Chordata, Mammalia, Rodentia, Dipodidae. The record is from RefSeq and is a predicted model, not a curated record.